UCCACCCGGCCAUAGCGGGGGAGCAACACCCGGACUCAUCUCGAACCCGGAAGUAAAGUCCCCUGCGUUGGGGAUGCGGUGGGAUCCGAAAGGGCCCGCAGCUACCCCAAGCUGGGAUGGA
This 121-nucleotide ribosomal RNA is filed under the name Metallosphaera sedula. The record is from RNAcentral. Lineage: Archaea; Thermoproteati; Thermoproteota; Thermoprotei; Sulfolobales; Sulfolobaceae. RNAcentral also lists the same sequence under 1 other name.